Bos taurus (domestic cattle) is the source of this 72-nucleotide non-coding RNA. NCBI's taxonomy places the organism in Eukaryota, Metazoa, Chordata, Mammalia, Artiodactyla, Bovidae. The record is from Rfam.
UCCCUGGUGGCCUAGUGGAUAGGAUUCUGGGCUUUCACUUCUGUGGCUCGGGUUCAAUCCCUGGUCGGGGAA